GAUGAACGCUAGCGACAGGCUUAACACAUGCAAGUCGAGGGGCAGCAUAAAAGUAGCAAUACUUUGGUGGCGACCGGCGCACGGGUGAGUAACGCGUAUGCAACCUACCUAUCAGAGGGGAAUAACCCGGCGAAAGUCGGACUAAUACCGCAUAAAACAGGGGCACCGCAUGGUGAUAUUUGUUAAAGAAAUUCGCUGAUAGAUGGGCAUGCGUUCCAUUAGGUAGUUGGUGAGGUAACGGCUCACCAAGCCGACGAUGGAUAGGGGGACUGAGAGGUUGGUCCCCCACACGGGGACUGAGACACGGACCAGACUCCUACGGGAGGCAGCAGUGAGGAAUAUUGGUCAAUGGGCGGGAGCCUGAACCAGCCAAGUCGCGUGAAGGAAGAAGGAUCUAUGGUUCGUAAACUUCUUUUGCAGGGGAAUAAAGUGCGGGACGUGUCCUGUUUUGUAUGUACCCUGAGAAUAAGGAUCGGCUAACUCCGUGCCAGCAGCCGCAGUAA
Molecule: ribosomal RNA, 503 nt
Filed under: uncultured bacterium
Lineage: Bacteria
Description: partial 16S ribosomal RNA
Rfam family: Bacterial small subunit ribosomal RNA
Source: RNAcentral